This 429-nucleotide ribosomal RNA is filed under the name Actinomycetes bacterium. RNAcentral's name for it is "Actinobacteria bacterium partial 16S ribosomal RNA". It matches the Rfam family "Bacterial small subunit ribosomal RNA", at positions 355 to 776 of the family's 1533-position model. The record is from RNAcentral. Lineage: Bacteria; Bacillati; Actinomycetota; Actinomycetes.
UAGGGAAUCUUCCGCAAUGGGCGAAAGCCUGACGGAGCAACGCCGCGUGAGUGAUGAAGGUCUUCGGAUCGUAAAACUCUGUUAUUAGGGAAGAACAAAUGUGUAAGUAACUAUGCACGUCUUGACGGUACCUAAUCAGAAAGCAACGGCUAACUACGUGCCAGCAGCCGCGGUAAUACGUAGGUGGCAAGCGUUAUCCGGAAUGAUUGGGCGUAAAGCGCGCGUAGGCGGUUUUUUAAGUCUGAUGUGAAAGCCCACGGCUCAACCGUGGAGGGACAUUGGAAACUGGAAAACUUGAGUGCAGAAGAGGAAAGUGGAAUUCCAUGUGUAGCGGUGAAAUGCGCAGAGAUAUGGAGGAACACCAGUGGCGAAGGCGACUUUCUGGUCUGUAACUAACGCUGAUGUGCGAAAGCGGGGGGAUCAAACAGG